Long non-coding RNA from Candoia aspera, 1347 nucleotides. RefSeq lists it as uncharacterized. The transcript is spliced from 3 exons. The record is from RefSeq and is a predicted model, not a curated record. NCBI's taxonomy places the organism in Eukaryota, Metazoa, Chordata, Lepidosauria, Squamata, Candoiidae.
GGAGAAAGAGUGGGUUUAAGCCCAAGUCCUAGCCCCCUAGUUUGGGAAUCCCAACAGUCAUGGGGAGUUGGAGAGAACAUCAGUAUUGUCCUCCUUGACGGUGAUGGAAAUGAAACUGCAGAAGGAAUGAUCAUGUAUCUGGAAAGAGGAGAGGGUGAUGGAGAAAUAGAAGAUGCAGAGGAAACAAAACUAGGGAUUCAUAGUCAGCAGAACGAGAGCCGCAGCUGUCCCAUAAUGUAACCGAAUCCCCAGAAUUGAAAGUUGCUUCAGAGAUGUUUGGCUUUGCCCUGAGAGUUGAUGCCAUCACUUUCCUUCACACUCCUUGACUUCAAGGACAAGAUGACUUGUGAGCUCCUAACAGCCAACUGGUGAAAGACUGUGUGCAAUUACCAGCAGUAUUAGGGCAGGUGAUAUCAUCUUGAUUAUGAUUAUCUUGGAGUCACGUCUAAGAGCCUUAAGAGACCUUUCAUUUUGUAGCUUGCUAAGAACAAGUAAGAGCCUCAUCUUGUUAAAUUAGAAGAGCAGUAAACUGUGCUGCCUUAUUCAGUCAAAUGCCAGGUCCCUGCUUGACGGUGUUGCUUUUUUUGCACAUAGCGCAGCCUUUUGCAAAGAAGUUGGUAGAGCUCUUCGCUCCUCUGUGGACCAAGAUAUUCUUCCUCCGUGUAUCCAAACAAACAGCCUAAAUUUGUACUCAGGCUGGAAUUCUAGCCCUCCUCAAUAAGCUUGGGAGAUUUUCCAACAAAUAUGCCAAAUUAAGAAAUUCCUUUUGCCCCAAUAUAUAGUAGCCAUAUACUACUUGCUUUCUCUCUUUUCAACAGAAGUAGCCAUAAUAUAGCAUGCUGGUGAUUUGCCUAGAAGUUGCCUAAAGCUGUGGUGGUUUGCAAUAGGAGAGAAAGAGAGACAGGGAGAUCUUUCAUUGUGCUGUCAUUUGCAGAAUGGGACUGAAGAAAUGCCCAGGAAGGAAGGUGAGGUGUCCAUCAAAUACAGCACUUCAUUUGAACCCUUUCCAACAACAGUGGGAAGAGAGGUGCACUCUAAAACUCAGAAUUAUUUAGGACUCUUGUAUUAAUUAACAGUCAAAGAAUUAUUCUAUUGCUACCAGCCUCAAUUUAGGAUAGGGUUUUUGAACACAGUAUUUUUUCUGGGAGGGUUCCUUUCAGCUGGAUUUCUUCAAUAGCGAUUUUUUUAGAUGGUUAAAUUAUUAAUGCCGGUGGCUUCUGAUAUUUUAGCAGAUCUAAACAGUUUGUUGUGGUACUUGCUGUUUAGGUACUUCUAGUUGUGUGUAGGGCUUAUUAAAGACACGUAUCUGGUAAACGCUUGCUUUCUAUUAAAGGUAUCUCCUAUUCA